CCCUUAGAUGUUCUGGGCCGCACGCGCGCUACACUGACGAAUGCAACGAGCUUAUAACCUUGGCCGAAAGGUCUGGGUAAUCUCCAAAUUUCGUCGUGAUGGGGAUAGAUUAUUGCAAUUAUUAAUCUUCAACGAGGAAUGCCUAGUAAGCGCAAGUCAUCAGCUUGCGUUGAUUACGUCCCUGCCCUUUGUACACACCGCCCGUCGCACCUACCGAUUGAAUGGUCCGGUGAAGCCUCCGGAUUGGCGCGCACCUCGGUGCCGCCGAGAAGUUGGCUAAACCUUACCAUUUAGAGGAAGGUGAANUCGUAACA
This 314-nucleotide ribosomal RNA is filed under the name uncultured eukaryote. RNAcentral's name for it is "partial 18S ribosomal RNA". It matches the Rfam family "Eukaryotic small subunit ribosomal RNA", at positions 1470 to 1796 of the family's 1831-position model. The record is from RNAcentral.